Molecule: transfer RNA, 69 nt
Filed under: Nurudea yanoniella
Lineage: Eukaryota; Metazoa; Arthropoda; Insecta; Hemiptera; Aphididae
Description: tRNA-Phe
Source: RNAcentral
AUUUGGAUAACUUAAAAUUUAGAGUUUUAUAUUUAAAAUAUAAAGGUAAUAAUAAAUUAUUUUUAAAUA